Molecule: long non-coding RNA, 284 nt
Organism: Peromyscus leucopus (white-footed mouse)
Lineage: Eukaryota; Metazoa; Chordata; Mammalia; Rodentia; Cricetidae
Exons: 2
Source: RefSeq, a predicted model, not a curated record
CGCACUGCUGCAAGUCCUUGGGUGACAGUCUCUGGCAUGUCACCCUGGUGUGGUGUCACAGACUCACAGCUGGAGAGCCCAGCAGACUGACAGACAACUGGAACCUUGGGAGCCAAAGGAGACUGUGGAGCGGAUGUGAGCAGAUGGCCACUGAGGAUAGCUGACCGGGUGGGCUGGAACACAGGCCAGGAACUGCCACCUGAGGAUUGUGCUUGGGAUGUCCAGAUGAUGCGUGAGCAGCCACUUAGGGAGCCUUGUUCUGUUGAAAAUCAUAAAGUUGAAAA